GCCCGCAAAGAAGGUAGACGACAUUACCCAAAGGUCUCAUGUAAACACCAUCUUCACGCAGCUUCUGAAUGAGAGAACGUGCAUAUAGAGAUGCAUAUCCAGCAUUACUCCCUUCUGCUCGUAGUUCUAGAGCAAAUAGAGUUCCCAAUGCAACCACUCUUUGAACAGAAGGAUGCAAUGAGAUCUGUUGCACCAAUUCCACAUUCCAUAACUCCCUAAGCAACCCUUGUUCAGCAAUGACAUUAUGGUUU
RNAcentral lists this unclassified non-coding RNA (251 nucleotides) under Hevea brasiliensis (rubber tree). The record is from RNAcentral. Lineage: Eukaryota; Viridiplantae; Streptophyta; Magnoliopsida; Malpighiales; Euphorbiaceae.